Molecule: ribosomal RNA, 253 nt
Filed under: uncultured bacterium
Lineage: Bacteria
Description: partial 16S ribosomal RNA
Rfam family: Bacterial small subunit ribosomal RNA
Source: RNAcentral
UACGGGGGGGGCAAGCGUUGUUCGGAAUUACUGGGCGUAAAGGGCUCGUAGGCGGCCAACUAAGUCGGACGUGAAAUCCCUCGGCUUAACCGGGGAACUGCAUCCGAUACUGGAGGGCUUGAGUUUGGGAGAGGGAUGCGGAAUUCCAGGUGUAGCGGUGAAAUGCGUAGAUAUCUGGAGGAACACCCGUGGCUAAGGCGGUUCUCUAGUACGGUACUGACGCUGAGACGCGAAAGCGUGGGGAGCGAACAGG